RNAcentral lists this ribosomal RNA (117 nucleotides) under Sinocyclocheilus rhinocerous. The record is from RNAcentral. Lineage: Eukaryota; Metazoa; Chordata; Actinopteri; Cypriniformes; Cyprinidae.
GCCUGCAGCCAUAUCACCCUGCAGCCCAAGACUGGUUGCCCACUGAAGCUAAGCAGGGUUGAGCCUGGUCAGUACCUGGAUGGGAGACCUCCUGGGAAAACUAGGUUGCUGCUGGAA